RNAcentral lists this ribosomal RNA (459 nucleotides) under uncultured bacterium. RNAcentral describes it as "partial 16S ribosomal RNA". It matches the Rfam family "Bacterial small subunit ribosomal RNA", at positions 338 to 795 of the family's 1533-position model. The record is from RNAcentral.
CCUACGGGAGGCAGCAGUGAGGAAUAUUGGUCAAUGGUCGGGAGACUGAACCAGCCAAGCCGCGUGAGGGAUGAAGGUACAGAGUAUCGUAAACCUCUUUUGUCAGGGAACAAAGGCGGGGACGUGUCCCCGGCUGAGUGUACCUGAAGAAAAAGCAUCGGCUAACUCCGUGCCAGCAGCCGCGGUAAUACGGAGGAUGCGAGCGUUAUCCGGAUUUAUUGGGUUAAAAGGGUGCGCAGGCGGUCUGUUAAGUCAGCGGUCAAAGCCCGGGGCUCAACCCCGGCCCGCCGUUGAAACUGGCAGUCUCGAGUUGGAGAGAAGUAGGCGGAAUGCGCGGUGUAGCGGUGAAAUGCAUAGAUAUCGCGCAGAACUCCGAUUGCGAAGGCAGCAUGCCGGCUCCACACUGACGCUGAGGCACGAAAGCGUGGGUAUCGAACAGGAUUAGAUACCCGGGUAGUC